GGGAAGAUGGCUCAGUGGUAGAGUGCUUGCCUUACAUGCAUAAGGCCCUGGGUUCGAUUCCUCAGCACCCCA
Molecule: transfer RNA, 72 nt
Filed under: Dipodomys ordii (Ord's kangaroo rat)
Lineage: Eukaryota; Metazoa; Chordata; Mammalia; Rodentia; Heteromyidae
Rfam family: tRNA
About the family: Transfer RNA (tRNA) molecules are approximately 80 nucleotides in length. Their secondary structure includes four short double-helical elements and three loops (D, anti-codon, and T loops).
Source: Rfam by way of RNAcentral